This is an RNA transcript of Juglans microcarpa x Juglans regia, 1067 nucleotides long. RefSeq lists it as uncharacterized. Lineage: Eukaryota; Viridiplantae; Streptophyta; Magnoliopsida; Fagales; Juglandaceae. The transcript has 5 exons. The record is from RefSeq and is a predicted model, not a curated record.
ACUGUAAAGCCCAGCAGAAAGAAGGCAAGAGGCAGAAACAGCAAGAAAAGUAGAAUGUUUCCAAAUUCACUACUUCUCCUCCUCUUCUUCCUUUCUAUCGUCGUUCAAACCCUAGGGUUCCCAACGAUUGGUGUAAGUGGCGGAACUCAGAAAGGGAUUGACCGCAGAGUUCUGCUGAGUUUCAGAGAAACCCCUCGUGGUGGUAACGCUGCCUAUAAUUGCGAUCCUUCCGGUCUCUGCGUUCCCUGCCUCUACUCUGAAAAGAAUGAUGAAAAAUAUCGAUGCAGCGAGACUGGUUAUCGUAUUCCUUUUAAGUGCUUAGAAAUUAAAGAUAAUUUGAAGGACACAAAUGUUAAAAGUUCUCAUAACAGCCGAUCUACUCUGGAAACCUCUGACAACGAUCCAAAAUUAGAUGGAGUAUUGCCUGAUGCCGGAGAGCUUACUAGUUCAAUGAGACAUAGGAGUUUACUGGAUGACCCAUCAGCAGUAAAGAGUGGCCCGCAAGCUUAUAUUACUUAUAGAAGCUGUAUGGUACCUGUUAGCGAAGAGAAGUUAUCAGUUCUUGGGUUCGAGGGAAUUGUGUUGUGUUUAUUGCUCAUUAGCAGUUCAGUUGUAUACUUCAGAAGAAAGCGGACCACUGCCAUGACAAGUUUUGGAGGAGGGAGGAUCCAGACCAACUCUAGGUUUUAAUUCAGAUGAUACCUUUGGUACAUAGCCAAUUCUUAACAGUCACCAAGUCAUGUAGGCUAUUGAUUUUAGAAAGAAUUAAGCCAAGUUUUCAUUAUUUUCUACCCACAGUUUGUUUUUAUAUGCUAAUCCUAAGAGAGAUAUCAUCUUGUGUUUAUAGCCUCCAAGUGUGUCGAUGCUGAUUAAUAUAGUUUUGUAACCUAAUGAUUUUUUCUUCCAUUGAUUACAUUAUUUUCUACCUGAGGAAUCGGCCUGGGGAGGUUCGAGAUUCUGGCUCAGCAUAGGUGUAAGAUUUGUAGGGAAUUUCAGAUUACAUGGGAUAAUGAAAUUCUUGUAUUGUUGGGAACGAUAAAUAUAGAAGGCCUGUAAACCGGUGCAAA